CUAGUUUUUUUUUUUCUAUUAGAGACAGGGUUUCACCGUAUUAGCCAGGAUGGUCUCGAUCUCCUGACCUCGUGAUCCACCCGUCUCGGCCUCCCAAAGUGCUGGGAUUACAGGCUUGAGCCACCGUGCCCGGCUAUUGUUUGUUUGUAUGAAAGCUAUUGAUUUUUGUAUGUUAGCUUUAUAUGCUGUUACUUUACUGAAUUUUUAAAUUUUAUUUUUGAUUUGAGUUUUUCCAGCAUUGUUAGCAAAUAGAGAUAAUUUUACUUCCUCUUUACCAAUCUUAUGCUUUGAAUUGAUUUAUCAUGUUGAAUUGCAAUGGCUAAUACCGCUAGACAAUGUUGAAUAGUAGCAGAGAUGGUGAGCAUCUUUGCCUUCUUCCUGAGCUAAGUGAAAAAUGCUUUUAGUAUUUCCCUAUUAAGUAAGAUGCUGGCUAAAUCUGUGAUGUUGGGAUAUAAUAAGAAAUUCUGUCCCAUUUUCCGGCAUAGAGCUUCUAAUCCUUCGGAAUUUCCUGAGCCAUAGGAGCAUCUGUUUUCCCCUAAAAUCUAUUUAUUAGGAAGAAUGAAUUUUCAUAAUUCUAGUAGCAAAUCAUAGUACAGAAGUAUCAGACAGAAUUCUCAUAGCCUUGAUAUAUUGUCUCAAUGUUAUAAGAAGUUGACCUCCAAAUCAACAAUCAUAGUAAAAUGAAAAAUAUCAUUUGUUGAUAUCUUUCAGAGGCCAAGACAUGAUUUUCUGACUUUUAAAUCUUUAUUUUCCACUUAGUGGCAGAAAGGAAUCUCUAUUAUGCAAAACCAAUCUGAAAGUUAAUAGUUAUAUAGUGGCUACAGAAAAAUUUUCUUUUUUUCUUUUUAGAUGGAUUCUCGCUCUGUCACCCAGGUUGGAGUGCAGUGGCAUGAUCUUGGCUCACUGCAACCUCCGCCUUCCGGGUUCAAGCAAUUCUCCCGCCUCUGCCUCCCGAAUAACUGGGAUUACAGGCAUGAGCCACCACACCCAGCCCAGGCCCGUCUUUCCUCUAGCCUGCCCCAAUCAGAAGGAUCAGGAGGGGCAAAGCUGGCCCAUGGGGAACCUGUGGCUGGGAGCCCAUGAGGCAGGGGCAGCAGAAGGCGGCAGAGAGGGUUGGACCUCUGUGGCCCUGGCUGUGUGCUCCGAUGGCAUGGUGAUGGAAACCUGCUACCAGAUGACAAAACACUAUUACCCAACAGCUGGGUGACCUUAGGAAAAUCACUCAACCGCUCCUCCUGCCUACAGAUUUCCUCACCUGCAGGGCCCUGCAGAGCUGUUGCAAGGUUGAAAUGAGGCAACGUACAUGUGCCUGGCAGCAAAGCUGACCCCACACAGCUCAAUCCUCAGUGUUUGCAUGUUUGGGAAAAAAAAAAAACAACUAGAGGAACUAGUUCUUCUUACCUGGGAAGAUUCCUAAGCACAAAUUAGAUUUCUUAGGGGCUGAGAUUAGAAAAAGCUUGGUCUCAGCUCCUAGACCUUAUUAGCAGGCCCUUCCUAGAGCUGGCUCUAAUCGGCAUAGCUUGGGAAGCUCCCUUCCUGGGGAAGAAACCACCUGGCCACUGCAGCCUUUCUGUUUCUGGCUUAGGCCCACUGGCCUGCCUGGCGUGAGCUCCCUGGGGCAGGGAGCCUACAAACCUUGGGAGUGGAGAAGCGCUGGCUCGGCUGGGUGUGGUGGCUCACACCAGUAAUCCCAACACCUGGGUGAGGCUGAGGCAGGAGAGUCACUUAAGCCCAGGAGUUCGAGACCAGCCUAGGAAACAGGGAGAUCCUGUCUGCAAACAAUACAGUGGUGACUCACACCUGUAGUCCCAGCUACUCAGGAGGCCGGCUAGGAUGGGAGGAUCACCUGAGCCUGGGAGGCAGAGGCUGCGAUGAUCCCUAAUCACACCACUGCACUCCAGAGCGCCAGAGUGAGAUCCUGUCUUUAACCUCCCCCAAAAACAAAGAAAGUACUGUCUGAUAGGUCAGGAGGUCCACACUAGCUCCAGCCUCGUUCCUAAAUCACUGGGCGGCCUUGGGCAAGGCCAGACCCUCUCUGGGAAGCAGAAAGGAGAUUUCCCCCUUCCUCCUGGGCAGGGAUUGUGGAGAGCACUAGUGUGUCUGGGUGAGAAGGUACUCUGCAGCUCUGCAGUGCUGGGUUCUGUC
Molecule: long non-coding RNA, 2145 nt
Organism: Piliocolobus tephrosceles (Ugandan red Colobus)
Lineage: Eukaryota; Metazoa; Chordata; Mammalia; Primates; Cercopithecidae
Source: Ensembl